UUGCAUCUGAGGCCAGUGAGGAUGAGAACCUCCGGGGGCAGGAGGUUCGACUCCAGCGAAGCGAGAGAACGUUGCGUCAGCAACGGCCCGCAGGGCGAGCCACGAAGUGGUGAGUCAUCCUCUAUCACCGACCA
RNAcentral lists this small RNA (134 nucleotides) under Klebsiella pneumoniae. Its description in RNAcentral is "RtT sRNA". It matches the Rfam family "RtT RNA". Rfam says of the family: This family represents a bacterial cis-regulatory element known as RtT RNA. The exact function of RtT is unknown although it is thought that it may be involved in changing the cellular response in relation to amino acid starvation. Lineage: Bacteria; Pseudomonadati; Pseudomonadota; Gammaproteobacteria; Enterobacterales; Enterobacteriaceae. The record is from RNAcentral.